This 107-nucleotide small nuclear RNA is filed under the name Bison bison bison. Lineage: Eukaryota; Metazoa; Chordata; Mammalia; Artiodactyla; Bovidae. The record is from RNAcentral.
GUGCUUGCUUCGGCAGCACAUAUACUAAAAUUGGAAUGAUACAGAGAAGAUUAGCAUGGCCCCUGCACGAGGAUGACACACAAAUUCGUGAAGCGGUCCAUAUUUUU